This 65-nucleotide transfer RNA is filed under the name Mesocricetus auratus (golden hamster). It matches the Rfam family "tRNA". From Rfam's summary of the family: Transfer RNA (tRNA) molecules are approximately 80 nucleotides in length. Their secondary structure includes four short double-helical elements and three loops (D, anti-codon, and T loops). Lineage: Eukaryota; Metazoa; Chordata; Mammalia; Rodentia; Cricetidae. The record is from Rfam by way of RNAcentral.
GGUGUAGCUUGGUUGUAGAGUGCUUGCCUAACAUACAGAAAGCCCUGGGUUCGAUUCCCAGCACC